CUCGCAAUAACGUUGAUAUCUAUCAUUUUAUACAUGUUGUGUAAAUUUUAAUGUAUAAUAAAUAAUAAUGCAGCCAGCCAGGGUUACUAAAUUUGGAGCUUAUGUGUACGAAGAUGGCUCAAAAUACAUCGGAGACUGGAACGAUCGAGGUCGAAAACAUGGUUUGGGACACGUCCAAUUAAAAGACAAUACACGUUAUGAAGGAGGAUUCAGCAAUGGACUUUGCUCAGGUCUUGGAGUUCUCCAGUAUCCGGACGGAGCAAGAUAUGAAGGAGAAUUUAUGGAAGGAUGGUUUCAUGGUCACGGAAUGUUUUGGAGGGCUGAUGGCAUGAAGUACGAAGGCCAAUUUCGAGGUGGUCGUAUUUGGGGAUUAGGUUUAGUGACUUUUAAGGACGGAUCUCACGGACUUCCAAGAUACGAAGGAUUUUUCAAAGAUUGCAAAUUUGUACAAAAAAAAAAAUGUCCAGGAGUCGUUACAGAUGCACAACGAGCAGCGUUAAUGGCAAGAAUACAAACUGAACAAACAUAAUUUUCACUGUGCAUACUGCAUAGUGGAGAGAAUAAUAAAAAAAUUGAUCUCGCAAAAUAAAUUAAUUACAAAAAAAAAAAAAUUCUGAUAUUAAAACAAUACUACAUACCUACGUGUUGCCUGCGUCUUACAAACCUGUACAACAUGUCAACAUCACAUAUUUUACGUUCACAAUAAUUUAUUUUAUUCUGUAAUUUCUACAACUAGAGUGAAUUGACUAAAAAAGUUUUUAUUGUUAUUUUUAUUAUGAAGCAAGUUA
This 788-nucleotide unclassified non-coding RNA is filed under the name Rhopalosiphum maidis (corn leaf aphid). Its description in RNAcentral is "mORN repeat-containing protein 4 homolog, transcript variant X1". The record is from RNAcentral. Lineage: Eukaryota; Metazoa; Arthropoda; Insecta; Hemiptera; Aphididae.